GUCUGGCCAUUGCCCCAGAGGAUGAGGUUGAGCACAGAGAUCCCCAUGGUGCAGGCCUGUGGUCACCCAGCCUGCGGUCACCCCAGGGUGUACUACUGCACUCCAGCCACCCAGGCAGCUCCUCCCAAACUGAAGGACAAGAGAAACCAGGGAAACUACUCCAGCAGUUUUUGCUGCGGAGAGGUGAGGGAUCUGCAGACACACAA
Taeniopygia guttata (zebra finch) is the source of this 206-nucleotide long non-coding RNA. RefSeq lists it as uncharacterized. NCBI's taxonomy places the organism in Eukaryota, Metazoa, Chordata, Aves, Passeriformes, Estrildidae. The record is from RefSeq and is a predicted model, not a curated record.